AGCAGCCGCGGUAAUUCCAGCUCCAAUAGCGUAUAUUAAAGUUGUUGCAGUUAAAAAGCUCGUAGUUGAAUUUCGGGGUUAGUAGGUUGGUCAUGCCUCUGGUAUGUACUGGUCUCACUGAUUCCUCCUUCCUGAUGAGCCGUAAUGCCAUUAAUUUGGUGUUGCGGGGAAUUUGGACUGUUACUUUGAAAAAAUUAGAGUGUUUAAAGCAGGCUAACGCUUGAAUACAUUAGCAUGGAAUAAUGAAAUAGGACGUUUGAUCCUAUUUUGUUGGUUUCUAGGAUCCACGUAAUGAUUAAUAGGGAUAGUUGGGGGCAUUAGUAUUCAAUUGUCAGAGGUGAAAUUCUUGGAUUUAUUGAAGACUAACUACUGCGAAAGCAUUUGCCAAGGAUGUUUUCAUUAAUCAAGAACAAAAGUUAGGAAUCGAAGACGAUCAGAUACCGUCGUAGUCUUAACCAUAAACUAUAGCCGACUAGGGAUCGGAUGAUGUUAAUUUUUAAUGACUUCAUUCGCGCCUUAA
Molecule: ribosomal RNA, 520 nt
Filed under: uncultured Glomus
Lineage: Eukaryota; Fungi; Glomeromycota; Glomeromycetes; Glomerales; Glomeraceae
Description: SSU rRNA
Rfam family: Eukaryotic small subunit ribosomal RNA
Source: RNAcentral